CCUACGGGUGGCAGCAGUGGGGAAUCUUGCGCAAUGGCCGAAAGGCUGACGCAGCGACGCCGCGUGGAGGAUGACGCCCUUCGGGGUGUAAACUCCUGUUGCCCGGGACGAAUGCCUGUUUCGACAGGAGUGACGGUACCGGGUGAGGAAGCACCGGCGAACUCUGUGCCAGCAGCCGCGGUAAGACAGAGGGGGCGAGCGGUGUCCGGAAUCACUGGGCGGAAAGGGCGCGGAGGUGGCGCGGUAAGCGGAACGUCCGGGGCUCAACCCCGGAUCGGCCAUGCGAACUGCCGCGCUGGAGCACGGUAGAGGCACAUGGAAUUCCGGGUGUAGCGGUGGAAUGCGUAGAGAUCCGGAAGAACACCGGUGGCGAAGGCGGUGUGCUGGGCCGUUGCUGACACUGAGGCGCGACAGCGUGGGGAGCAAACAGGAUUAGAUACCCGUGUAGUC
This 450-nucleotide ribosomal RNA is filed under the name uncultured bacterium. Its description in RNAcentral is "partial 16S ribosomal RNA". It matches the Rfam family "Bacterial small subunit ribosomal RNA", at positions 338 to 795 of the family's 1533-position model. The record is from RNAcentral.